Molecule: ribosomal RNA, 594 nt
Filed under: Lodderomyces parapsilosis
Lineage: Eukaryota; Fungi; Ascomycota; Pichiomycetes; Serinales; Debaryomycetaceae
Description: eukaryotic LSU rRNA
Rfam family: Eukaryotic large subunit ribosomal RNA
Source: RNAcentral
CAACAGGGAUUGCCUUAGUAGCGGCGAGUGAAGCGGCAAAAGCUCAAAUUUGAAAUCUGGCACUUUCAGUGUCCGAGUUGUAAUUUGAAGAAGGUAUCUUUGGGUCUGGCUCUUGUCUAUGUUUCUUGGAACAGAACGUCACAGAGGGUGAGAAUCCCGUGCGAUGAGAUGUCCCAGACCUAUGUAAAGUUCCUUCGAAGAGUCGAGUUGUUUGGGAAUGCAGCUCUAAGUGGGUGGUAAAUUCCAUCUAAAGCUAAAUAUUGGCGAGAGACCGAUAGCGAACAAGUACAGUGAUGGAAAGAUGAAAAGAACUUUGAAAAGAGAGUGAAAAAGUACGUGAAAUUGUUGAAAGGGAAGGGCUUGAGAUCAGACUUGGUAUUUUGUAUGUUACUCUCUCGGGGGUGGCCUCUACAGUUUACCGGGCCAGCAUCAGUUUGAGCGGUAGGAUAAGUGCAAAGAAAUGUGGCACUGCUUCGGUAGUGUGUUAUAGUCUUUGUCGAUACUGCCAGCUUAGACUGAGGACUGCGGCUUCGGCCUAGGAUGUUGGCAUAAUGAUCUUAAGUCGCCCGUCUUGAAACACGGACCUCCUGUGUG